GUGAACAUAGUUUAUCAAAAUUCUAGUUUGUGAAUCUAGAGAUGAGGACUAAUCCCCUCUGUUCACC
This 67-nucleotide transfer RNA is filed under the name Telmatobius bolivianus. RNAcentral's name for it is "tRNA-His". It matches the Rfam family "tRNA". Rfam says of the family: Transfer RNA (tRNA) molecules are approximately 80 nucleotides in length. Their secondary structure includes four short double-helical elements and three loops (D, anti-codon, and T loops). Lineage: Eukaryota; Metazoa; Chordata; Amphibia; Anura; Ceratophryidae. The record is from RNAcentral.